This 497-nucleotide ribosomal RNA is filed under the name uncultured bacterium. RNAcentral's name for it is "partial 16S ribosomal RNA". It matches the Rfam family "Bacterial small subunit ribosomal RNA", at positions 28 to 507 of the family's 1533-position model. The record is from RNAcentral.
GAUGAACGCUGGCGGCGUGCCUAAUGCAUGCAAGUCGAGCGAACAGAUAAGGAGCUUGCUCCUUUGACGUUAGCGGCGGACGGGUGAGUAACACGUGGGUAACCUACCUAUAAGACUGGGAUAACUUCGGGAAACCGGAGCUAAUACCGGAUAACAUUUGGAACCGCAUGGUUCUAAAGUGAAAGAUGGUUUUGCUAUCACUUAUAGAUGGACCCGCGCCGUAUUAGCUAGUUGGUAAGGUAACGGCUUACCAAGGCAACGAUACGUAGCCGACCUGAGAGGGUGAUCGGCCACACUGGAACUGAGACACGGUCCAGACUCCUACGGGAGGCAGCAGUAGGGAAUCUUCCGCAAUGGGCGAAAGCCUGACGGAGCAACGCCGCGUGAGUGAUGAAGGGUUUCGGCUCGUAAAACUCUGUUAUUAGGGAAGAACAAAUGUGUAAGUAACUGUGCACGUCUUGACGGUACCUAAUCAGAAAGCCACGGCUAACUACGUG